Molecule: long non-coding RNA, 425 nt
Filed under: Prunus dulcis (almond)
Lineage: Eukaryota; Viridiplantae; Streptophyta; Magnoliopsida; Rosales; Rosaceae
Description: sRNA ncRNA
Source: RNAcentral
CGACGAUGGUGGAGAGGAGCCAGUUGGUUCUUCAGGAGUCCGCCUCCCAGCUUCCUCCCGAGACUCCGAUCGAGUCUGUGGCUCCUCCACAGGAUGCUGGAUUUCAGAUCUUGACGGAGACGUUGGAUCAGACUCUCGGGAGGAGGCCGGGGACAUAUUGUCGAGGGAUGGGGAAUGCCCGGCGGAGGGAACCUAGACCUCGUUCAUCGGCGCAGUCAAACAGUCAGGUGACUGCUUUGACAGCACAGGUGGCCGAGCUUCAGGUCAGAUGUCGGUGAUUCUACAGUCCCUCGCACAGGGAGGCUUUCCAAUCCCGCAGUUUCGUGCGUCGACCUCCCAGCCCGUCCACCCCGAGCAUGCCCACCAGACCACUGCCCCGGUGGACGCCCAGACCACUGCCCCGGUGGACGCCCAGACCUCCGAGC